This 117-nucleotide ribosomal RNA is filed under the name Danio rerio (zebrafish). Lineage: Eukaryota; Metazoa; Chordata; Actinopteri; Cypriniformes; Danionidae. The record is from RNAcentral.
UGCCACAGUCAUAUCACUCUGCAGCCCAAGACUGGUUACUCACUGAAGCUAAGCAGGGCUGAGCUUGGUCAGUACCUGGAUGGGAGACUACAUGGGAAAGCUAGGUUGCUGUUGGAA